GGCGNGCUUACACAUGCAAGUCGAACGAUGAUCCGGUGCUUGCGCCGGGGAUUAGUGGCGAACGGGUGAGUAACACGUGAGUAACCUGCCCUUGACUCUGGGAUAAGCCUGGGAAACUGGGUCUAAUACCGGAUAUGACUCCUCAUCGCAUGGUGGGGGGUGGAAAGCUUUUUGUGGUUUUGGAUGGACUCGCGGCCUAUCAGCUUGUUGGUGGGGUAAUGGCCUACCAAGGCGACGACGGGUAGCCGGCCUGAGAGGGUGACCGGCCACACUGGGACUGAGACACGGCCCAGACUCCUACGGGAGGCAGCAGUGGGGAAUAUUGCACAAUGGGCGAAAGCCUGAUGCAGCGACGCCGCGUGAGGGAUGACGGCCUUCGGGUUGUAAACCUCUUUCAGUAGGGAAGAAGCCCUCUUUGGGGGUGACGGUACUUGCAGAAGAAGCGCCGGCUAACUACGUGCCAGCAGCCGCGGUAAUACGUAGGGCGCAAGCGUUAUCCGGAAUUAUUGGGCGUAAAGAGCUCGUAGGCGGUUUGUCGCGUCUGCUGUGAAAGACCGGGGCUCAACUCCGGUUCUGCAGUGGGUACGGGCAGACUAGAGUGCAGUAGGGGAGACUGGAAUUCCUGGUGUAGCGGUGAAAUGCGCACAUAUCAGGAGGAACACCGAUGGCGAAGGCAGGUCUCUGGGCUGUAACUGACGCUGAGGAGC
This 707-nucleotide ribosomal RNA is filed under the name Arthrobacter sp. IFC_YN2. RNAcentral's name for it is "bacterial SSU rRNA". It matches the Rfam family "Bacterial small subunit ribosomal RNA", at positions 41 to 754 of the family's 1533-position model. The record is from RNAcentral. Lineage: Bacteria; Bacillati; Actinomycetota; Actinomycetes; Micrococcales; Micrococcaceae.